Long non-coding RNA from Coturnix japonica (Japanese quail), 3780 nucleotides. NCBI's taxonomy places the organism in Eukaryota, Metazoa, Chordata, Aves, Galliformes, Phasianidae. The record is from Ensembl.
AUUUUAGGGUUCCUGAACCUGAUCCUAUGGGUCGGCGGCUGCUGGUUCGUCUAUAAGGAGACCCCGUUCCAUCGCCCCCCAUCUGCCGGCCCCACAACCGCCCCCGGUGCCAUAUAAACCCCCCCCCCAGCCCCAUAAGUGUGGGGCAGCCCCACUCCGUGACCCCAAAUGGGGGCACCGCUGUCAGCACUGCCUUCUUUUGUAUCCUAUGGGGUGAUUUGGGGUCGCUGUGGGGUGGGGGCUGCUAUGGGGCAGAGAUGCUAUGGGGCAGAGUGGCUAUGGGGUCAGGUUGCUAUGGGGUGAGGGAUGCUAUGGGGUGAGGGCUGUUAUGGGGUCAGGUUGCUAUGGGGUCGGGCUGCUAUGGGGUUGGGUCUGCUAUGGGGUCAGGCUGCUAUGGGGCAGAGCUGCUAUGGGGCAGAGCUAUGGGGUGGGGGCUGCUAUAGGGCAGAGUGGCUUUGGGGUCGGGUUGCUAUGGGGUGGGGGCUGCUAUAGGGCAGAGUGGCUAUGGGGUGAGGCAGUGGGGUGGGGGCUGCUAUGGGGUACAGCUGUUAUGGGGUCAGGCUGCUAUGGGGUGGGGGCUGCUAUAGGGCAGAGCUGCUAUGGGGUAGAGCUGUUAUGGGGUCAGGUUGCUAUGGGGUUGGGGCUGCUAUGGGGCAGAGUGGCUAUGGGGUCGGGUUGCUAUGGGGCAGAGCUGCUAUGGGGUUGGGUCUGCUAUGGGGUGGGGGCUGCUAUGGGGCAGAGUGGCUAUAGGGUCAGGCUGCUAUGGGGUUGGGUCUGCUAUGGGGUGGGGGCUGCUAUAGGGCAGAGCUGCUAUGGGGUAGAGUGGGUAUGGGGUCAGGCUGCUAUGGGGUGGGGGCUGCUAUAGGGCAGAGUGGCUAUGGGGUCAGGUUGCUAUGGGGUGGGGGCUGCUAUGGGGUGGGGGCUGCUAUAGGGCACAGUGGCUAUGGGGCAGAGCUGCUAUGGGGUCAGGUUGCUAUGGGGUGGGGGCUGCUAUGGGGCAGAGUGGCUAUGGGGCAGAGCUGCUAUGGGGUUGGGGCUUCUAUAGGGUGGAGUGGCUAUAGGGUCAGGUUGCUAUGGGGUCAGGUUGCUAUGGGGUUGGGGCUGCUAUAGGGCAGAGUGGCUAUAGGGUCAGGCUGCUAUGGGGUUGGGGCUGCUAUGGGGUCGGGCUGCUAUGGGGUGGGGGCUGCUAUAGGGCAGAGCUGCUAUGGGGUAGAGCUCUUAUGGGGUCAGGCUGCUAUGGGGUCAGGUUGCUAUGGGGUUGGGGGCUGCUAUAGGGCACAGUGGCUAUGGGGCAGAGCUGCUAUGGGGUUGGGUCUGCUAUGGGGUGGGGGCUGCUAUAGGGCAGAGCUGCUAUGGGGUAGAGUGGCUAUGGGGCAGAGCUGCUAUGGGGUCGGGUUGCUAUGGGGUGAGGGAUGCUAUGGGGUAGAAUGAUUAUGGGGUCAGGUUGCUAUGGGGUGGGGGCUGCUAUAGGGCACAGUGGCUAUNGCUAUGGGGUAGAAUGAUUAUGGGGUCAGGUUGCUAUGGGGUGGGGGCUGCUAUAGGGCACAGUGGCUAUAGGGUCAGGCUGCGAUGGGGUUGGGGCUGCUAUAGGGCAGAGCUGUUAUGGGGUAGAGUGGUUAUGGGGCAGAGCUGCUAUGGGGUUGGGGUUGCUAUAGGGCAGAGUGGCUAUAGGGUCAGGUUGCUAUGGGGUUGGGGCUGCUAUGGGGUGGGGGCUGCUAUGGGGUAGAGUUACUAUGGAGAACGGUUGUUAUGGGGUGGGAGAAGCUAUGGGGCGGGGGCUGCUAUGGGGCAGUGAUGUGGCACUGAGGUCGGGUUAUGGGGUUGGGUUGGUGUGUGGGGUUGGGAUUAGGAUUGGGAUUAGGAUUGGGAUUGGGGUCAGGAUUAGGGUCAGGAUUGGGAUUGGGAUUAGGAUUGGGAUUGGAUGCAGAUUGGGAUUGGGGUCGGGAUUAGGGUUAGGAUCAGGAUUGGGUUUGGGAUCCUGAAUUGGAAUUGGGAUUGGGAUCGUGGAUUGGGGUCAGGAUUAGGGUCACGAUUGGGAUCCUGGAUUGGGGUUGGGAUUGAGAUUAGGAUUGGGAUUGGGGUCAGGAUCAGGAUUGGGGUCAAGAUUAGGAUUGGGAUCCUGCAUUAGGAUUGGGAUCAGGAUUUGGGAUUGGGGUCAGGAUUUGGGAUUGGGGUUGGGGUCGGGAUUAGGAUUGGAAUCCUGUAUUGGGAUUAGGAUUGUUAAUAGGAUUGGGAUUGGGGUCAGGAUUAGGAAUGGGAUUGGGAUCCGGGAUUGGUAUUGGGAUUAGGAUUGGGAUUGGGAUUGGGGUCAGGAUCAGGAUUGGGAUUGGAUUAGGAUUGGGAUCCUGCAUUAGGAUUGGGAUCAGGAUUUGGGAUUGGGGUCAGGAUUGGGAUUGGGUUUGGGGUUGGGGUUGGGAUUAAGAUUGGGAUUAGGAUUGGGAUUGGGAUCCUGGAUUGGGGUUGGGAUUGGGAUCGGGAUCAGGAUUAGGACUGGGAGUAGGGUUGGGGUCAGUAUUAGGAUUAGGAUUAGGAUUGGGGUCAGGAUUGGGAUUGGGGUCAGGAUUAGGAUUGGGAUCCUGCAUUAGGAUUGGGAUCAGGAUUUGGGAUUGGGGUCAGGAUUGGGAUUGGGAUCAGGAUUAGGAUUGGGAUUCUGUAUUGGGAUUAGGAUUGGGGUCAAGAUCAAGAUUAGGGUCAGGAUUGGGAUUGAGAUCCUGGAUUGGGAUUGGGAUUGGGGUCAGGAUCAAGAUUAGGAUCAGGAUUGGGAUCCGGGAUUGGGGUUGGGAUUAGGAUUGGGAUCGUGGAUUGGGAUUGAGGUGAGGAUUUGGGAUUGCUAUUAGGAUUGGGAUUGGGGUUAGGGUCAGGAUUGGGAUUGGGAUGGGGAUUAGGGUUGGGAUUGGGAUUAGGAUUAGGGCUGGGGUCGGGAUUGGGAUCCUGAAUUAGGAUCAGAAUUGGGGUCGGGAUUGGGAUCGGGGUCAGGAUUGGGAUUAGGAAUGGGAUUAGGGUUGGGAUUAAGAUCGGGAUCCUGAAUCAGGGUCAGGAUUGGGAUUAGGAUCAAGAUUAGGAUUGGAAUCAGGUUCUGAGUUGGGAUCGGGAUGGGGGUCAGGAUUGGGAUUGGAUUCAGAUUGGGAUUAGGAUUGGGAUUGGGAUUGGGAUUGGGGUCCUGAAUUGGGAUUAGGAUUGGGAUUAGGAUUGGGGUCAGGAUUAGGAUUGGGAUUAGGAUUUGGAUUAGGAUUGGGAUUAGGAUUUGGAUUGGGAUUGGAUUCGGAUUGGGAUUGGGAUUAGGAUUGGGAUUGGGAUUGGGAUUAGGAUUGGGAUUGGGAUUGGGAUUGGGAUUAGGAUUGGGAUUGGGAUUGGGAUUGGGAUUAGGAUUGGGAUUAGGAUUGGGAUUGGGAUUGGGAUUGGGAUUGGGAUUGGGAUUGGGAUUAGGAUUGGGAUUGGGAUUNGGAUUGGGAUUGGGAUUAGGAUUGGGAUUGGGAUUAGGAUUAGGAUUGGGAUUAGGAUUGGGAUUAGGAUUGGGAUUGGGAUUAGGAUUGGGAUUGGGAUUGGGAUGGGAUUGGGAUUGGGAUUGGGAUUGGGCAUUUCCCCUAAUUAACCCCCCCCUAAUUAAGCCCCUAUAACCCCCCAACCCCAUUAAACCCCCCCCCCACAUUUAGGGUGGGUUUAUGGGGUUUGGAUGGGGGGGUUUGGGGUGGGGGGGGUCCUUUUAGGGGGCACUUUUGGGGUCCCCAUUGAGACCCCCCCCCCCAAAUAAGCUCAAUAAAGGAUUAAUGGGACACGGCA